Capsicum annuum is the source of this 106-nucleotide non-coding RNA. The record is from Rfam. NCBI's taxonomy places the organism in Eukaryota, Viridiplantae, Streptophyta, Magnoliopsida, Solanales, Solanaceae.
ACUUCAUGAUUUGGGAGUUGAGAAAGCUUACCGUUAAACAUGUUCCAAGCUUCAAAAAAUGGUUCUCCAUUCAUUUGUCAAAAAUUUAAAAUCUCAUCCUGCUUUU